RNAcentral lists this ribosomal RNA (696 nucleotides) under uncultured bacterium. RNAcentral's name for it is "bacterial SSU rRNA". It matches the Rfam family "Bacterial small subunit ribosomal RNA", at positions 32 to 715 of the family's 1533-position model. The record is from RNAcentral.
AACGCUAGCUACAGGCUUAACACAUGCAAGUCGAGGGGAAACGAUAUUGGAAGCUUGCUUCCGAUAGGCGUCGACCGGCGCACGGGUGAGUAACGCGUAUCCAACCUGCCCACCACUUGGGGAUAACCUUGCGAAAGUAAGACUAAUACCCAAUGACGUCUCUAGAAGACAUCUGAAAGGGAUUAAAGAUUUAUCGGUGAUGGAUGGGGAUGCGUCUGAUUAGCUUGUUGGCGGGGUAACGGCCCACCAAGGCGACGAUCAGUAGGGGUUCUGAGAGGAAGGUCCCCCACAUUGGAACUGAGACACGGUCCAAACUCCUACGGGAGGCAGCAGUGAGGAAUAUUGGUCAAUGGGCGAGAGCCUGAACCAGCCAAGUAGCGUGCAGGAUGACGGCCCUAUGGGUUGUAAACUGCUUUUAUAAGGGAAUAAAGUGGGUCUCGUGAGACUUUUUGCAUGUACCUCAUGAAUAAGGACCGGCUAAUUCCGUGCCAGCAGCCGCGGUAAUACGGAAGGUCCGGGCGUUAUCCGGAUUUAUUGGGUUUAAAGGGAGCGUAGGCCGGAGAUUAAGCGUGUUGUGAAAUGUAGACGCUCAACGUCUGCACUGCAGCGCGAACUGGUUUCCUUGAGUACGCACAAAGUGGGCGGAAUUCGUGGUGUAGCGGUGAAAUGCUUAGAUAUCACGAAGAACUCCGAUUG